This 523-nucleotide ribosomal RNA is filed under the name Clostridioides difficile. RNAcentral describes it as "partial 23S ribosomal RNA". It matches the Rfam family "Bacterial large subunit ribosomal RNA", at positions 1559 to 2094 of the family's 2925-position model. The record is from RNAcentral. Lineage: Bacteria; Bacillati; Bacillota; Clostridia; Peptostreptococcales; Peptostreptococcaceae.
GGAUGUGAUGGGGAGCGAAAUUUAGUAGCGAAGUAGCUGAUUUCACACUGUCAAGAAAAGUCUCUAUCGAGGUUAAAGGUACCCGUACCGCAAACCGACACAGGUGGGUGAGGAGAGUAUCCUAAGGCCAGCGAGAGAACUGUUGUUAAGGAACUCGGCAAAAUGACCCCGUAACUUAGGGAUAAGGGGUGCCACCAUCAGGUGGCCGCAGAGAAUAGGCCCAAGCGACUGUUUACCAAAAACAUAGGUUUCUGCUAAGUCGCAAGACGAUGUAUAGGAGCUGACGCCUGCCCGGUGCUGGAAGGUUAAGGGGAUCUGUUAGAGCAAUCGAAGCAGUGAACUUAAGCCCCAGUAAACGGCGGCCGUAACUAUAACGGUCCUAAGGUAGCGAAAUUCCUUGUCGGGUAAGUUCCGACCCGCACGAAAGGCGUAACGAUUUGGGCACUGUCUCAACAACAGACUCGGUGAAAUUGUAAUUCCGGUGAAGAUGCCGGAUACCUGCGACAGGACGGAAAGACCCCAU